This 749-nucleotide ribosomal RNA is filed under the name Ovis aries (sheep). RNAcentral describes it as "partial large subunit ribosomal RNA". It matches the Rfam family "Bacterial large subunit ribosomal RNA", at positions 1421 to 2499 of the family's 2925-position model. The record is from RNAcentral. Lineage: Eukaryota; Metazoa; Chordata; Mammalia; Artiodactyla; Bovidae.
ACAAUAGUAUUAUUAAUCCCAGCAAUAACAUUAGCCAACUCCUAGAUUUAAUACGGGACUAUUCUAUUACUAAAUAGAAGCAAUAAUGUUAAUAUGAGUAACAAGAAAUAUUUUCUCCUCGCACAAGUUUAAGUCAGUAACUGAUAAUACCCUGACCGUUAACAGUAAAUAAAAAUAACCCAACAAUAAAUGAUUUAUUACUUAUACUGUUAACCCAACACAGGAGUGCACCCGGGAAAGAUUCAAAGAAGUAAAAGGAACUCGGCAAACACUAAACCCCGCCUGUUUACCAAAAACAUCACCUCCAGCAUCCCUAGUAUUGGAGGCACUGCCUGCCCAGUGACUAAACGUUAAACGGCCGCGGUAUUCUGACCGUGCAAAGGUAGCAUAAUCAUUUGUUCUCUAAAUAAGGACUUGUAUGAAUGGCCACACGAGGGUUUUACUGUCUCUUACUUCCAAUCAGUGAAAUUGACCUCCCCGUGAAGAGGCGGGGAUAAAUCAACAAGACGAGAAGACCCUAUGGAGCUUUAACUAAGUAACUCAAGGAAAAUAAAUUCAACCACCAAGGGAUAACAACACUCCUUAUGAGUUAACAGUUUCGGUUGGGGUGACCUCGGAGAACAGAAAAUCCUCCGAGCGAUUUUAAAGACUAGACUAACAAGUCAAACCAAACCAUCGCUUAUUGAUCCAAAAACUUGAUCAACGGAACAAGUUACCCUAGGGAUAACAGCGCAAUCCUAUUCAAGAGU